UGGUCAAGCGAUUAAGCGCAUACGGUGGAUGCCUUGGCAGCCAGAGGCGAUGAAGGACGUUGUAGCCUGCGAUAAGGUUCGGUGAGGUGGCAAACAACCUGUGACCCGGACAUUUCCGAAUGGGGAAACCCACCCAGCACAAGCUGGGUAUCCCACACUGAAUCCAUAGGUGUUGGGAGGCGAACCGGGGGAACUGAAACAUCUAAGUACCCCGAGGAAAAGAAAUCAACCGAGAUUCCCCAAGUAGCGGCGAGCGAACGGGGACCAGCCCUUAAGCUGGUGACUGGUUAGGCGAACGAGCUGGGAAGCUCGACCAUAGGGGGUGAUAGUCCCGUAGCCGAAAACCUGAUCCAGUGAAAUCGAGUAGGUCGGGGCACGUGAAACCUUGACUGAAGACGGGGGGACCAUCCUCCAAGGCUAAAUACU
Molecule: ribosomal RNA, 426 nt
Filed under: Bisbaumannia pacifica
Lineage: Bacteria; Pseudomonadati; Pseudomonadota; Gammaproteobacteria; Oceanospirillales; Halomonadaceae
Description: bacterial LSU rRNA
Rfam family: Bacterial large subunit ribosomal RNA
Source: RNAcentral